RNAcentral lists this ribosomal RNA (1414 nucleotides) under metagenome. RNAcentral describes it as "bacterial SSU rRNA". It matches the Rfam family "Bacterial small subunit ribosomal RNA". The record is from RNAcentral.
AACACAUGCAAGUCGAGGGGUAACGAUGGUGCUUGCACCAGGCGACGACCGGCGCACGGGUGAGUAACGCGUAUGCAACCUACCUAUAACUGGGGGGUAGCCCGAAGAAAUUCGGAUUAAUACCCCAUAAUAUCACAAUUUCUCAUGAAAUUGUGAUUAAAACUCCGGUGGUUAUAGAUGGGCAUGCGUACCAUUAGUUUGUUGGUGAGGUAACGGCUCACCAAGACUACGAUGGUUAGGGGGUCUGAGAGGAUGAUCCCCCACACUGGUACUGAGACACGGACCAGACUCCUACGGGAGGCAGCAGUGAGGAAUAUUGGUCAAUGGGCGAAAGCCUGAACCAGCCAUGCCGCGUGCAGGAUGAAUGCCCUAUGGGUUGUAAACUGCUUUUCUGUAAGAAGAAACCCCUUUACGUGUAGAGGGUUGACGGUAUUACAGGAAUAAGCAUCGGCUAACUCCGUGCCAGCAGCCGCGGUAAUACGGAGGAUGCAAGCGUUAUCCGGAUUCAUUGGGUUUAAAGGGUGCGUAGGCGAAAAUAAGUCAGUGGUGAAAUCCUGCAGCUUAACUGUAGAACUGCCAUUGAUACUGUUAUUCUUGAGUAUGGUUGAGGUAGGCGGAAUGUGCAGUGUAGCGGUGAAAUGCGUAGAUAUUGCACAGAACACCAAUUGCGUAGGCAGCUUACUAAGCCAUCACUGACGCUGAGGCACGAAAGCGUGGGGAGCGAACAGGAUUAGAUACCCUGGUAGUCCACGCCGUAAACUAUGAUCACUCGUUGUUGGCGAUACACAGUCAGCGACUGAGCGAAAGCAUUAAGUGAUCCACCUGGGGAGUACGAUCGCAAGGUUGAAACUCAAAGGAAUUGACGGGGGCCCGCACAAGCGGUGGAACAUGUGGUUUAAUUCGAUGAUACGCGAGGAACCUUACCUGGGCUUAAAUGCAGGACGCUUUUUCCCGAAAGGGAUUUUUCUUCGGACGGCUUGCAAGGUGCUGCAUGGUUGUCGUCAGCUCGUGCCGUGAGGUGUCGGGUUAAGUCCCAUAACGAGCGCAACCCCUAUCGUUAGUUGCCAGCGAGUAAUGUCGGGGACUCUAACGAAACUGCCGGUGUAAACCGUGAGGAAGGUGGGGAUGACGUCAAAUCAGCACGGCCCUUAUGUCCAGGGCUACACACGUGUUACAAUGGUUGGUACAAAGAGCAGCUACUAUGUGAAUAGAUGCUAAUCUCAAAAACCAAUCUCAGUUCGGAUUGAAGUCUGCAACUCGACUUCAUGAAGUUGGAAUCGCUAGUAAUCGCGCAUCAGCCAUGGCGCGGUGAAUACGUUCCCGGGCCUUGUACACACCGCCCGUCAAGCCAUGGAAGCUUGGGGUACCUGAAGUCUGUAACCGCAAGGAGCGGCCUAAGGUAAAACAAGUAACU